Molecule: ribosomal RNA, 495 nt
Filed under: uncultured bacterium
Lineage: Bacteria
Description: bacterial SSU rRNA
Rfam family: Bacterial small subunit ribosomal RNA
Source: RNAcentral
GGCGUGCCUAACACACGCAAGUCGAGCGGACUGUAAAGAGGGGUAACUCUCUUUGCAGUUAGGGGCGCACGGGUGAGUAACACGUGGGGAACCUACCCUUAGGAGAGGGAUAACCCGAGGAAACUUGGGCUAAUACCUCAUAAGACCACAGGCUGAAAUGCUCGUGGUAAAAGGAGCAAUCCACCUAAGGAUGGGCCCGCGGCCUAUCAGGUAGUUGGUAGGGUAAUGGCCUACCAAGCCUAUGACGGGUAGCCGAGCUGAGAGGCUGGCCGGCCACAUUGGGACUGAAACACGGCCCACACUCCUACGGGAGGCAGCAGUGGGGAAUAUUGGGCAAUGGGCGAAAGCCUGACCCAGCGACGCCGCGUGGGGAAAGAAGGCCUUCGGGUUGUAAACCCCUUUUGCAGGGGACGACACAGGACGGUACCCUGCAAAUAAGCCACGGCUAACUCUGUGCCAGCAGCCGCGGUAAGACAGAGGUGGCAAGCGUUGCUC